CAAGCGUGCACGAAAUGCUGCUGGGAUUAUUAGGCAGAACGAUCAUAUUUCCCAGGUCCAUCCUAUUGAAAACAAUCUGCAGAAGUUUCUGUGACGACAGUCCAAUUUGCGUUCUGUUUAUUAUCAGCGGCUCAUCCGAUUUCUCUCUCCCACUCUGUCUUUUGUUGGUGAUGCGAGAAACAGCUUGACGAGAAGGUGCUGGAGCUAGAGCGGGAGGUAGAGCGUGAGCUAGAGCGGAAGAAAGAGCAGAAGCCACAACAGCUGUGCUUCAAAAAGUGGGAUGCGGCAUGCUAUCCCCCUGGGCAUUCAUGGCGGUCCCAAAACAAUCUGCCAGUGCGGCAAUACUUCAACAAGCCAGAUGGACCAUGUGGCCCUGGUUAUGCAUCGUUGGCCCCUGUACUUGGUCGUCACAACUACCAGCCACCACCAUCAGAAUAGCAGUUGACUUACUGCAGUGAGAUUGGACCUCAUGAGGUAAAAACAUUGGUGAAGCAUAUGAUAUUCUGUUAUCUCCUCUAUUGACCUGUAGCUCGGUAGCCCUGGA
Molecule: long non-coding RNA, 544 nt
Organism: Triticum aestivum (bread wheat)
Lineage: Eukaryota; Viridiplantae; Streptophyta; Magnoliopsida; Poales; Poaceae
Exons: 3
Source: RefSeq, a predicted model, not a curated record